RNAcentral lists this ribosomal RNA (151 nucleotides) under Anomobryum auratum. RNAcentral's name for it is "5.8S ribosomal RNA". It matches the Rfam family "5.8S ribosomal RNA". From Rfam's summary of the family: 5.8S ribosomal RNA (5.8S rRNA) is a component of the large subunit of the eukaryotic ribosome. Lineage: Eukaryota; Viridiplantae; Streptophyta; Bryopsida; Bryales; Bryaceae. The record is from RNAcentral.
CUCUCAGCAACGGAUAUCUUGGCUCUUGCAACGAUAAGAACGCAGCGAAAUGCGAUACGUAGUGUGAAUUGCAGAAUUCCGCGAAUCAUCGAGUUUUUGAACGCAAGUUGCGCCCGAGGCUUGUCCGAGGGCAUUUCCGCUAGAGCGUCAC